This 112-nucleotide ribosomal RNA is filed under the name Starmerella vitae. RNAcentral describes it as "5.8S ribosomal RNA". It matches the Rfam family "5.8S ribosomal RNA", at positions 1 to 114 of the family's 154-position model. From Rfam's summary of the family: 5.8S ribosomal RNA (5.8S rRNA) is a component of the large subunit of the eukaryotic ribosome. It is transcribed by RNA polymerase I as part of the 45S precursor that also contains 18S and 28S rRNA. Lineage: Eukaryota; Fungi; Ascomycota; Dipodascomycetes; Dipodascales; Trichomonascaceae. The record is from RNAcentral.
AAAACUUUCAACAACGGAUCUCUUGGUUCUCGCAUCGAUGAAGAACGCAGCAAAGCGCGAUAGGUAAUGCGAAUUGCACACGUGAGUCAUUGAAUCUUUGAACGCACAUUGC